UCAUUAAUAUGGUGAUUAUGAUAACAUAAGGGAAAAAUUUGAUAUUACCUUAUUAUUAGUGUUGUCCAAAACUGGUGCCAGAAGACUCGGUAAGACCAGAGACGCAAACGUUAGUCAUCUUAAUCAGGCGUAAAGGGUUUGUAGGCUGCUUUAAAAUUUUAAAUCUUUGUAAUAGCUCUUUUACCGUAAUGCUAUAUUUAUUUAUUUGAUUUGAUUUGAUAAUAAAUAAUAUAAUAUAUAAAAUUUAUUAUAUAAAAUAAUAAAUGAUAUUAAACAAAUAUCCGUGUAUCAGUAAAGAAAUAAAUGAAUUAAAGCUAGGAUCAAAUUGAGGAUAAACCAAAUAAUACUUAGAGUAGGGCUUAUAUCCGUAGAUACUAAGGGGAAUACUAAAGGUGAAAACUUUUUAUCUACUAUUGAUUGACGCUGAGAAACGAAGGUGAGAAUAGGAAAUAGGAUUAGAUACCCAGAUACCUCUCACUGUCAACGAUGAAUGGUGGUUUGUUAGUUUUAAUAAAAACUGGUAACGAUGUUAACACGAUAACCAUUCCGCCUUGCGAGUACGGUUGCAAAACUGAAACCAAAAAAAUUAGUCGGUCUCGAAGCAAACGAAGUGAAGCAU
Molecule: ribosomal RNA, 619 nt
Filed under: Tricholoma sp. 1 XXD-2021
Lineage: Eukaryota; Fungi; Basidiomycota; Agaricomycetes; Agaricales; Tricholomataceae
Description: partial small subunit ribosomal RNA
Rfam family: Bacterial small subunit ribosomal RNA
Source: RNAcentral